AUGAGUUUUGGAAUGUUUUUUCUCUGCAUUCCAAACAGAAGAAGUCAAGUCUUUCUCUCCUACUUCUCUCUUCACAACUUCUAUCAAACCAAACACACUACAAACAAUCUCUCCCCCUCUUUGAUCAUUCUCGAUUCCAUCCAACCCUACGCACACAAAAUCCCCUCAAAAUCAUACAUUGCAAUUUCAAUUCAAUCCUUUGCGUUUAGGGUUCUUAAUUUCUGGAAAAUCAACGUUACACUGAACAUAAACCUUUUUCGACACGACAGUAGCGUAUUGUCGUUUACAGAAGUUGCCACGUGCUGA
Molecule: non-coding RNA, 306 nt
Organism: Vicia faba (fava bean)
Lineage: Eukaryota; Viridiplantae; Streptophyta; Magnoliopsida; Fabales; Fabaceae
Source: the annotation of a GenBank genome assembly